GGAUUCACCAACAUUCAGUCAUGGAGAGAGGAGGGUCUCACUAGGUCUCACCCCUCUCCAAGAAGUAAGCUAUGAUUGGUUCCUAGAAAAGAAGGGAUCACUGUGUUUAGGGGUGUAGCCACUGUUAAUGUUCCUGACUCAUGUUCCUGUAGUCAACUCGGAAUACAGUAUGAAACUCACACAAAGAGAGAUGUAACAGGAGGAGGAAGAUGUGGUAAUACAAAGAAGGGACAAGGCAGGAAGGGCAAGGAGAUAAAAGAGGAUAAUAAAAUGAUCGGGACCAAAGUCAAUCAUAUGUGCAUGUGCUCCGAAGUGCGAAGGAAUAAAUACUUAUUUAACAAGAGACCACAUGAAUCUGGAAUUCUGGCACUCUGCUCCUUUUCAUGUUCGUUGACUAUAAGUGAUACCAGUGGCUGUAAAAAGUUGUGAGCUGUUUCCUUGAACUCUGUCAGGCCCCUGACAAUGCUGGAACGUGUGCUUCUCAGCCUUUUGGUAUUCGUCAGAUGGGAUUGCUGGAACCUUCUAGCAGCAGAUCAGUGACUUCACACCUGACUAUGCCUGGUUUUGUGAACACCCUAAGGAGAAUGGGGGCAGUGAGUGAGGGGAGUAUCAAUUCGCAGACAAGCAGAUGCUAUCCUUUCUGUAACCUGUGAACUCACUUAAAUACCUCCUGUCACUUCUCUGAUCUCUAGAUAGCACUGGAUAUUCCACACAUCCAACCCUAGACUCAGGGAGCCCUUCUCAUAUACAACACAAAAGGAAUAUGACUAGCCUGGCUCUACAUGAUGUACGAAUAAGAAAGGACUUCCUGUAUAGGCUACCAUUUGCCUAAGAAUUAGGGACAUCAACUGACACAUGAGAGGUCAUAAAACUACAAAGCUCCAAGAGAAAUAUCAACUUGGAUAAUAAAAAUGUGUACAUGU
Molecule: long non-coding RNA, 923 nt
Organism: Mus musculus (house mouse)
Lineage: Eukaryota; Metazoa; Chordata; Mammalia; Rodentia; Muridae
Product: RIKEN cDNA 4930407I19 gene
Exons: 5
Source: RefSeq, marked validated